CGCAGGGGUCAGUGGGGCCCUGUUGUUCCUGCUCCUGCUCGUGGGUGCCAUUGUGGCCUGGCACCGGUGGCACCGUGUGGCUGCCAGGAAGAACCAGGAAAGGGCCCCCCCGGAUCCCCCGGCCCCCCCAGAGGAGGGGGAGGUGCUGUACACCCACG
Zonotrichia leucophrys gambelii is the source of this 158-nucleotide long non-coding RNA. RefSeq lists it as uncharacterized. The record is from RefSeq and is a predicted model, not a curated record. The transcript has 3 exons. NCBI's taxonomy places the organism in Eukaryota, Metazoa, Chordata, Aves, Passeriformes, Passerellidae.